This 253-nucleotide ribosomal RNA is filed under the name uncultured bacterium. RNAcentral's name for it is "partial 16S ribosomal RNA". It matches the Rfam family "Bacterial small subunit ribosomal RNA", at positions 524 to 776 of the family's 1533-position model. The record is from RNAcentral.
UACGGAGGGUGCAAGCGUUAUCCGGAUUCACUGGGUUUAAAGGGUGCGUAGGUGGGCAGGUAAGUCAGUGGUGAAAUCUCCGGGCUUAACUCGGAAACUGCCAUUGAUACUAUCUGUCUUGAAUACCGUGGAGGUUAGCGGAAUAUGUCAUGUAGCGGUGAAAUGCUUAGAUAUGACAUAGAACACCAAUUGCGAAGGCGGCUGGCUACACGAAUAUUGACGCUGAUGCACGAAAGCGUGGGGAUCAAACAGG